This 960-nucleotide ribosomal RNA is filed under the name Geastrum glaucescens. RNAcentral describes it as "eukaryotic LSU rRNA". It matches the Rfam family "Eukaryotic large subunit ribosomal RNA", at positions 1 to 938 of the family's 3401-position model. Lineage: Eukaryota; Fungi; Basidiomycota; Agaricomycetes; Geastrales; Geastraceae. The record is from RNAcentral.
UUUGACCUCAAAUCAGGUAGGACUACCCGCUGAACUUAAGCAUAUCAAUAAGCGGAGGAAAAGAAACUAACAAGGAUUCCCCUAGUAACGGCGAGUGAAGAGGGAAAAGCUCAAAUUUGAAAUCUGGCAGUCUAUGGCUGUCCGAGUUGUAAUCUAGAGAAGUGUUUUCCGUGCUGGACCGUGUACAAGUCCUUUGGAACAAGGCGUCAUAGAGGGUGAGAAUCCCGUCUACGACACGGACUCCCAGUGCUUUGUGAUACACUCUCAACGAGUCGAGUUGUUUGGGAAUGCAGCUCAAAAUGGGUGGUAAAUUCCAUCUAAAGCUAAAUAUGGGCGAAAGACCGAUAGCGAACAAGUACCGUGAGGGAAAGAUGAAAAGCACUUUGGAAAGAGAGUUAAACAGUACGUGAAAUUGUUGAAAGGGAAACGCUUGAAGUCAGUCGCGUCUUCAGAAACUCAGCCUGGCUUCUGCCUGGUGUACUUUUCUGUUGGACGGGCCAGCAUCAGUUUUGGCUGCUAGAAAAAGGUGAGAGGAAGGUAGCACCACUCGUGGUGUGUUUAUAGCCUCUCAUCGUAUGUGGCAGCUGGGACUGAGGACUGCAGCACGCCUUCAAUGGCCGGGGUUCGCCCACGUAACGUGCUUAGGAUGCUGGCGUAAUGGCUUUAAACGACCCGUCUUGAAACACGGACCAAGGAGUCUAACAUGCCUGCGAGUAUUUGGGUGGUAAACCCAUAUGCGGAAUGAAAGUGAACGGUUGGGACUUCUGUCAUGGAAGGCACCGACGCCCGGACCAGACCUAUUGUGACGGAUCCGAGGUAGAGCAUGUAUGUUGGGACCCGAAAGAUGGUGAACUAUGCCUGAGUAGGGUGAAGCCAGAGGAAACUCUGGUGGAGGCUCGUAGCGAUUCUGACGUGCAAAUCGAUCGUCGAACUUGGGUAUAGGGGCGAAAGACUAAUCGA